CAGGUACAGAGAGAAGCCAGGUGGCGACACCGAGCGGAACUCGAAAGCCUGUCUCAGUUCGGAUCGGAGUCUGCAACCCGACUCCGUGAAGCUGGAUUCGCUAGUAAUCGCGCAUCAGCCAUGGCGCGGUGAAUACGUUCCCGGGCCUUGUACACACCGCCCGUCAAGCCAUGGAAGCCGGGAGUGCCUGAAGUAUGCAACCGCAAGGAGCGUCCUAAGGUAAAACCGGUGACUGGGGCUAAGUCGUAACAAGGUAUC
RNAcentral lists this ribosomal RNA (258 nucleotides) under uncultured bacterium. RNAcentral describes it as "partial 16S ribosomal RNA". It matches the Rfam family "Bacterial small subunit ribosomal RNA", at positions 1234 to 1500 of the family's 1533-position model. The record is from RNAcentral.